UACGGAGGAUCCAAGCGUUAUCCGGAUUUAUUGGGUUUAAAGGGUGCGUAGGCGGGAUGCCAAGUCAGCGGUAAAAAUGCGGUGCUCAACGCCGUCGAGCCGUUGAAACUGGCGUUCUUGAGUGGGCGAGAAGUAUGCGGAAUGCGUGGUGUAGCGGUGAAAUGCAUAGAUAUCACGCAGAACUCCGAUUGCGAAGGCAGCAUACCGGCGCCCUACUGACGCUGAGGCACGAAAGCGUGGGUAUCGAACAGG
This 252-nucleotide ribosomal RNA is filed under the name uncultured bacterium. RNAcentral describes it as "partial 16S ribosomal RNA". It matches the Rfam family "Bacterial small subunit ribosomal RNA", at positions 524 to 776 of the family's 1533-position model. The record is from RNAcentral.